Long non-coding RNA from Malaclemys terrapin pileata, 471 nucleotides. RefSeq lists it as uncharacterized. The transcript is spliced from 3 exons. The record is from RefSeq and is a predicted model, not a curated record. NCBI's taxonomy places the organism in Eukaryota, Metazoa, Chordata, Testudines, Emydidae.
AUUUUGAGAGGUUGCUCAUUUCUCUGGUCAGGAAUGGUGUCUCCUCCACAGCAGAAGGUUGCAUCCGGAAGGAUGACUCCACGUGCUUCGCUUCCCGGGGAAUUUUCCAAGAGCCCUAUCCUGAGGAGAAAGUGGCACUAGUGGACGUGAGCAGACGGGACAUCCUUGUCAGCAGACAUGAACAGUCCUCAGCUUUCUGACUCCCGCAUAACUGGCUGACCGAGGGAAAAGAAGUCACGCCUCAGAGUCUCAAGCCUUCAUGCGAUGGAAAGCGAGCCAGAGCGACGAGACAGUGAGCAUUGUUGAUGCCAGGCAAGAGUCGUCUAUCUGGGAUGCAAGCAGACGCCACUCUCAGUGAGAUAAGUGUCUGGUUUGGUGAUUGCUGUGCUCACGGCCCACCUUGCUCCUGCUAGGGACGCCACGUUAUCUGGGACUGGGUUUGUAAGAAAUGGUUCCUGACCAGCUGUGCUU